Eriocheir sinensis (Chinese mitten crab) is the source of this 3442-nucleotide long non-coding RNA. RefSeq lists it as uncharacterized. The transcript has 2 exons. NCBI's taxonomy places the organism in Eukaryota, Metazoa, Arthropoda, Malacostraca, Decapoda, Varunidae. The record is from RefSeq and is a predicted model, not a curated record.
CUCCUGUGAAAGCUUUGCCAAACAACCACCCGGGUCAUAAAACUACCCCUGGAAAUGCCCAAAACUCCUGUGAAAGCUUUGCCAAACUACCACCCGGGUCAUAAAACUACCCCUGGAAAUGCCCAAAACUCCUAUGAAAGCUUUGCCAAACUACCACCCGGGUCAUAAAACUACCCCUGGAAAUGCCUAAAACUCCUAUGAAAGCCUUGCUAAACUACCACCAGGGUCAUAAAACUACCCCUGGAAAUGCCCAAAACUCCUAUGAAAGCUUUGCCAAACAACCACCCGGGUCAUAAAACUACCCCUGGAAAUGCCUAAAACUCCUAUGAAAGCCUUGCUAAACUACAAGCACAGUCGAUAGUCAAAUGAAACAGCAAAGACAGUCACAGUCACAAACACAGUCGCCAGUUAUAAUAUCACUGGGGGACUGGAGGGUCAGGUUGUGUGGACUUCACUAUCAAAGGCAUUUAGACCAGCACAAAAACAGUCACACUUUUAUCACAGGGGGACUGGAGGUUAAGAUUGUGUGCACUUCACUAUCAAAGGCAUUUAGACCAGCACAAAAACAGUCACACCUUUAUUACAGGGGGACUGGAGGGUCAGGUUGUGGGCACUUCACUCGGAAAGACAGUUACAUCAUAGGUCAUCAACUUCCGCCACUCACACAUCAACUAUUUCCAAAAGCCAAAAAGGAGAUUAAUUGGGAUCUCAUGAGUGUUUUUUUUAGGUUCAUGGACGAUCAAACUACCACCAGGGUCAUAAAACUACUCCUGGAAAUGCCUAAAACUCCUAUGAAAGCUUUGCUAAACUACCAGGGUCAUAAAACUACCCCUGGAAAUGCCCAAAACUCCUAUGAAAGCCUUGCCAAACCACCAGGGUCAUAAAACUACCCCUGGAAAUGCCCAAAACUCCAAUGAAAGCCUUGCCAAACUACCAGGGUCAUAAAACUACCCCUGGAAAUGCCUAAAACUCCUUGCCAAACCACCAGGGUCAUAAAACUACCCCUGGAAAUGCCCAAAACUCCUAUGAAAGCCUUGCCAAACUACCAGGGUCAUAAAACUACCCCUGGAAAUGCCCAAAACUCCUAUGAAAGCCUUGCAGAACUACCAGGGUCAUAAAACUACCCCUGGAAAUGCCUAAAACUCCUUGCCAAACCACCGGGGUCAUAAAACUACCUCUGGAAAUGCCCAAAACUCCUAUGAAACUACCCCUGGAAAUGCCCAAAACUCCUAUGAAAGCCUUGCCAAACUACCAGGGUCUUAAAGCUACCUCUGGAAAUGCUCAAAACUCCUAUGAAAGCCUUGCCAAAUAUGUGUGCAUGGGGGCUGAAAUGUAUAGAAUAUGCCCAUAGAGUUACCACAGGGGGACUGGAGGCUUAGGCUGCAUGUAUACCUCACCAGCAAAGACAAUCAACAGUCACUCAGUCAUGCACAGUCAGAGCCAAACCACACAGUCUUUUCAUCCCUCAGUCACUGCAUUAAGGAAGUGGUUAGUGUUGACCAGUGUUGAGAUUAUUAAUUUUAUUUUAUUUUAUUUAUUUUUUUAUAUCCUUGCCUAUAGUACCGGUAGGUUUUCUUCAGGGGCCAGAUGGUCGGCCCAAGCACGUCAUGACGCAGGUAAUUUUUUUAUAGUGCCGCCAUUUAUGCCUGUCAGUUUUAUAUCACAGGUUUUGUUGCUCUCUGAUAUUUCUAUACUAUUGUGUGUGUCUAUAACUCAUGUGCAUAUUCUACGUAAAAUAAGACACCAACAUCUAAAUCCAUAUUAUUAAAUGUAUCAGUCUCCUAUUAUGAUCAGAGAAGAUUAACUGGGUUUUUAUGGGUGAAUAUAUUGAGUCUAUAUUGUGUGUUUCUAUAACUCAUGUGCAUAUUCUACGUAAAAUAAGACACCAACAUCUAAAUCCAUAUUAUUAAACGUAUCGGUCUCCUAUUAUGAUCAGAGAAGAUUAACUGGGUUUUUAUGGGUGAAUAUAUUGAGUCUAUAUUGUGUGUGUCUUUAACUCAUGUGCAUAUUCUAGGUAAAAUAAGACACCAACAUCUAAAUUCAUAUUAUUAAAUGUAUCAGUCUCCUAUUAUGAUCAGAGAAGAUUAACUGGGUUUUUAUGGGUGAAUAUAUUGAGUCUAUAUUGAGUGUUUCUAUAAGUCAUAUGCAUAUUCUACGUAAAAUAAGACACCAACAUCUAAGCCCAUAUUAUUAAAUGUAUUGGUCUCACAUUAUACCUAUUUCCCAAGGCUACAGAAAAGAUUAACUGGGUUUUUAUGAGUGAAUCUAUAUUGAGUGUAUAUUGUUUGUCUUUAAAUCAUGUGCAUAUUCUUCGUAAAAUAAGACACCCAACAACUAACCCCAUAUUAUAUUAUAUUAUAUUGUUUCUUCCUUUUCAUCUCUCCUCCUCUUUCUCUUCCUUUCCCUCUUUCUCCUCCUUCUCCUCCUCUCCCUCUUCCCUCCCUCCUUCCUCUUUCACAUCUAUUCCCUCUUCCACUCCGACGCAGCCUCCACUCUCUUCCUGUUCUUUCUCCUCCUCCUCCUCCUCCCUCUCCUUCACCUUCUUUUCCUCUCCCUGUUAUUUCUCCUUCCUCUCUUCCUCCACCUUCCCUUCCUCCCCCUGUUCCUUCUCCUCCCUCUCUUCCUCCACGGUCCCGUAAUUCCUCUUCCUCUGUCUUCCUUUCCUCUUUUUGCAGUUUUUUGUUCGUUUUAAUUUUUUUUUUUCUAUUUUUUUAGUUUUUUUAGUUUAAUGUUUUAGAAUUUAGACCCCAGAGAGGAUUAACUGUGUUUUUAUGAUUAAUUUCCCCGUUCAAGAUGUAUAAGCCGUGUAAAACUAUCAUAUUGGGAGCACAAAACAGCCCAUGAAAAGCCCAGUAUAACUUCUACAAGAGGCCUUCCAAACAGGCAGACAGAGGUACCGACAUGUUUAACCCGGUAACAGCAACGGGCCAAAUUUGUGACUUUACCGUGUAGCAGUGACGGGCCAAAUUUGUGCCAUGAUAUAAACCCCCAAAAAUAGAUGAUGCAUAAACUGAUCAUAAAUACUUUGAUAUAUAUUAUGAAAUGGUUUGUGUGAGUGAUGAUUUUUUUCUCAUUUUUCUCGCUUAGAGGGACCAUUAAAAAACAUGAUCCCUGCUGUUACCGGGUUAUUACAGAAAAAUCAUGGCAUUAUAUAAUUAGAAGGAAGAGUGAGGCGAUUAUUUUUAGUUUUAUUAAUCUUAAACCUGAGAAACUGUGACCCGAUUAUACUGGUAGUGUAUGUAUGUGUGUGUGUGUGUUUUCUAAUUCUUAAAUCCAGCAUAGUGAUAUUCUGUGAUUAGAAGAAAGGGAUUUACGACACAUUUAAAAAUACACUCUCUAGUCCUAAGUGAUUCAGGUAAGCAAUAAAGUGUUCUGACAGGGUGUUUUAAUCCACUGUACACUUUCUAUUAAAUUUCUCAGAGGUCUUGAAUUCUCUUAUAAU